CCACUGGUUUCGCCGGAAAAUCCUUGUGUCGCGAUCGCGCCCGUUGCCUUGGCUAUACAUACAUAUAUGCUGAUGCAUGGCAUGUAGCCGCACCGCCGAUGUGCGAAUAUUUUGAGCUAAAAUAUAUAUCUGUGCGCUGAGUAAACACGCAAGUACGCAGCACAAGUACUAUCUCUGCGCCCGUGUGUGUGUGUAAUCGCUGCGAACGUGAGAAUCGCAAGUUCGCUGUGUGGUUGUUGUAACAUCGAUGUGGAGUGUCAAUUAUGUGGAAAUAUAUUUACAAAGAUGCCCCCUGUGCCAGUGCGUGUGUGUGAGUGAGUUCUCCUGGCACUGAAUGUCACUGCAAGAGCGAGAGGGAGAGCGCGAGUGUGUGGGAGUGGAAGUGGGGCUGCUCUCUUUCCAGUGCGUGUAGAUCAGUUGCCGCCAGCACCAACAACGGCAGCAACAACACGGACAACAAACAAACAAACAAGCAAACAAGCGACAAUUCACAUUCAUUCCCAUUCAUUGCUGCGAUUAUCGCCAGUUUUGCUUUGCUCUUUCACCACGCACGAACACGAAUCGGUGGGUGCAAGGAAGUGGAAGUGAGUGUGGAGAGUGUGAAGAGUCCGAAGAGUGUGUAGAGUGGAAAGCUGAAGAAGAGAGCUCAGUCGCGUGUGAACCGUUGGAAAAUGCGCGGGGGGAGCGGAUAGGGAGAUUGAAGCGGAUGAAGAGGAAGCAGCAACAGUCCGAAAGUUCGCUCUGGGCACGCCCCCUUAUGACGCCCCCUGUGACGCGUUAUCAGCGGACACCCAACAAACACAAAGACCUGACCAAAAUCCACACAAAAUGGCGAUAAACUCGAGUGCCAGAGAAUCGCCGCGGGCCUAAGCCAAAAAGUUCCUUCUCUCCAACAAAAACAACCGAAAGGAGGUAAACAAACUCGUUUUUGCCCCCAAACAACAACAACAACACACGCCACCAGCCUCCCGCCGAACCCACCAGAGCCAGCGAUAAGUAUCCCAAAGUUUGGGUGGCCCAGUCCACAGAAAACCCCGCACCAAACCCGAAACAAGCGCCUAAGAUGUGUUCCCGCAACAUAAAGAUCUCGGUGGUGCUGUUUCUUGUCUUGAUACCAAUCUUCGCCGCCUUGCCACACAACCACAAUCUGUCGAAGCGCAGCAAUUUCUUCGAUCUGGAGUGCAAGGGCAUCUUCAACAAGACCAUGUUCUUCCGACUGGACCGCAUCUGCGAGGAUUGCUAUCAGUUGUUCCGCGAGACGAGUAUACACCGAUUAUGCAAGAAAGACUGCUUUGAUUCGAAAUGGUUCGGCUCAUGCCUGAAAGUGCUGUUAAUACCCGAGGAGGAAAUCUCGAACUUACAGCACUUUCUGAGAGUAGUGAAUGGCUCGCCCAUAUCCUUCAACAUGGCGCCGGAAACAUAACUCUAAGUUACCGCCCCGCCCCACCCCCUCAUACACACACACACGCCCACAAGCUCACCCACACACAGAUACAAAUCGCUGCAAGGCGGAUGGGAUAUGCGAUCCAAUCCAGCCAGAACCACAAAUGCAGAGCCAGAACAAAGAAAUCUAAAAUAUUAAACGCCCAAAUUUAAUUCGUACUUAUUUAUUACUGUAUGCCUAACAGUUUUUAGUGUAUGUGUUUUUUUAAAAACGAAUUAUUUUUAUUAAUUUAUUGAGAACGUUAUGCGUUUGUUGUAAGCUACAUUAUCGGGCGAGUGAGAGAUGAGCGAAGAUGAUAUGAUGGUGACGAUGAGAAGUUCGCAGAUCUCACAACUCCCCAAAAAUACCCAUAGAAGCCGAAGUAUUUAUUUUUAAGUAUUCCUAGCUUGUUUUAUUAUUAUUGCGUUAUGCGUUAUGUAUAUAAAAUAAACAAAACGAAAUCCAUUGUUUUUAAUCUAUGUAAUGUAAAAUGAUUACUUUUACUUUUAUUUUUGUAUUUGUAUUCUAUUGUAAAAUCAGCAUUUAAAAUUUACAUUUUACACGAUUUUCCGCAAGGGCGAAAAGAUACAGAUACAGAUACACGUAGAAGAUAAAAGAUAAAGAUACACACACAUACACCGCACACGAGACCGAAAGUAUUUUGCCAAUGUAUUACCCUUACAAUUUUGUGCUAUUUUGUAAAGAUAAAACCCCUAAUUAGCAUAAAUAUGUUGGCGCAGAGAGCAAAUGCAGGCCAACGAAUAUAACUAUGUAAAAUCGCUAAAUCCUACAUUUAUCCGAAUACGAGUACCCUGCAAAUAUUACAGAAAAUAAGAGUACGCAAGAACGCAAUUUGUGCAAGACACAAACAAAAACCCCUGGUAAAAACACGCGAAAAGGACUGCAUUACAAAUGUGGCCAAAACGAUUAUAACCCCAUGUAAAAUAAUAAAACAUAAUCAUUCGCUGGCUAUUUGAGAGCAUCAAAAUUGUGAUAAAUGAGAAUUAGAAUGCGAAUGCGCCACGCAAAACGGCCAGAGAUCCAGAGAACCGAGAAAGGGAUCGCUAGAGAGGCGGCGACAGAGACAGCUAAGCCGCCGGAGAAAGAGACCGCCAUAGAGGAGGCGAGAGAGACGGACACUCAGCAGCUGGCGACUUGCGCGCGUUUUUGGCGCGACUAUAAACGCCUGCUUACCGUUUUUGUUUGGCAAGAGUGCUUCGGAUCGCCCUUCUUCAACGCCUGCAUAGAGGCUCUUCAGCUGCACGAGGAGAUGGACAAGUACAACGAGUGGCGCGAUACCCUGGGACGCAAGUAAACGGCGACCAUCUACGAUUUUCUGGCACCGUCACUGGCACGAGCAGCUACUUAAUUCUAUAAACUAUACCUACAACUAUUAUUAUUGAUAACUGUGACAGAACACGGCACGGAACAAUGGCAACCAGGAAACGAUCGACCCGAGGAAUGUGUACCACUUAAAGAAAUGAAUAAAUUAGAUGGAUAGAGAGGCAGAUCAAAAAUGUUGAAAAAAAAUGGAAACAAUUACUAAGCUAUUACACGUUACUUAUCCGCACCGAUAUCUAAAAGCGAACAUUUGUCUAUAUUUAUUUCUACUGUUCCCCGUCAUGCACAUCGAUCCGUUUAUCAGUCUCGUGGAGCUCUUAGUUUUAGUGAGAUGACGAGAACUAUGCUAACUCUUCGGUUCUUCCAGACCAACAGGAAAGUGAGAACGAACGAACGAACAAGAAUCAAAAUGUCUGAUGUAAAUAAAUUAUUUUGUCUUCUUUUAAAGAUUUCUAUACAUACAUAUUUAUAACGCCUAACUAUUUUGUACAUUUCGUUUAUUUCGUAAGCUUAAGUUACUUGUUACGGCAGUAAUCCUACGUUCCACCCAUCCUUACAUCUGCACCCCGCGCAAUAGAACCGAAAACACACAUCCGAACGCGAGAAACCCCGAACCCAAUUCGAUUCGACUCUUUGUACUAUUGCAUAUAUGCCCUACGAUUACAUAACUAUUAAUUAAUUUAACUUGUUUGGAUCUAGUCGUAAAAUAUAAAUAAAGAUUGUAUAUUUCAAGAGGA
Drosophila biarmipes is the source of this 3501-nucleotide RNA transcript. It is a transcript of the gene named ion transport peptide, with no coding region annotated. The record is from RefSeq and is a predicted model, not a curated record. The transcript has 4 exons. NCBI's taxonomy places the organism in Eukaryota, Metazoa, Arthropoda, Insecta, Diptera, Drosophilidae.